UCCUAGCCCCGAUUGAAGCGGCAUCCUUUUGUAAUGGUCGCUGAGCGGAGUCGAAGCGAUCAUUACAAAAGAUAUAGCGGAAAGCGGGCGAGGAU
Molecule: small RNA, 95 nt
Filed under: Soonwooa buanensis
Lineage: Bacteria; Pseudomonadati; Bacteroidota; Flavobacteriia; Flavobacteriales; Weeksellaceae
Description: Flavo-1 RNA
Rfam family: Flavo-1 RNA
Source: Rfam by way of RNAcentral